GAUGAACGCUGGCGGCGUGCCUAAUACAUGCAAGUCGAGCGAACGGACGAGAAGCUUGCUUCUCUGAUGUUAGCGGCGGACGGGUGAGUAACACGUGGAUAACCUACCUAUAAGACUGGGAUAACUUCGGGAAACCGUAGCUAAUACCGGAUAAUAUUUUGAACCGCAUGGUUCAAAAGUGAAAGACGGUCUUGCUGUCACUUAUAGAUGGAUCCGCGCUGCAUUAGCUAGUUGGUAAGGUAACGGCUUACCAAGGCAACGAUGCAUAGCCGACCCGAGAGGGUGAUCGGCCACACUGGAACUGAGACACGGACCAGACUCCUACGGGAGGCAGCAGUAGGGAAUCUUCCGCAAUGGGCGAAAGCCUGACGGAGCAACGCCGCGUGAGUGAUGAAGGUCUUCGGAUCGUAAAACUCUGUUAUUAGGGAAGAACAUAUGUGUAAGUAACUGUGCACAUCUUGACGGUACCUAAUCAGAAAGCCACGGCUAACUACGUG
Molecule: ribosomal RNA, 497 nt
Filed under: uncultured bacterium
Lineage: Bacteria
Description: partial 16S ribosomal RNA
Rfam family: Bacterial small subunit ribosomal RNA
Source: RNAcentral